Molecule: ribosomal RNA, 460 nt
Filed under: uncultured bacterium
Lineage: Bacteria
Description: partial 16S ribosomal RNA
Rfam family: Bacterial small subunit ribosomal RNA
Source: RNAcentral
CCUACGGGCGGCAGCAGUGAGGAAUAUUGGUCAAUGGGCGCGAGCCUGAACCAGCCAAGUAGCGUGAAGGAUGACUGCCCUAUGGGUUGUAAACUUCUUUUAUAAGGGAAUAAAAUGAGCCACGUGUGGCUUUUUGUAUGUACUUUAUGAAUAAGGAUCGGCUAACUCCGUGCCAGCAGCCGCGGUAAUACGGAGGAUCCGAGCGUUAUCCGGAUUUAUUGGGUUUAAAGGGAGCGUAGAUGGGUUGUUAAGUCAGUUGUGAAAGUUUGCGGCUCAACCGUAAAAUUGCAAUUGAUACUGGCAGCCUUGAGUACAGUUGAGGUAGGCGGAAUGCGUGGUGUAGCGGUGAAAUGCUUAGAUAUCACGAAGAACUCCGAUUGCGAAGGCAGCUUACUAAACUGCCACUGACAUUGAUGCUCGAAAGUGUGGGUAUCAAACAGGAUUAGAUACCCUGGUAGUC